RNAcentral lists this long non-coding RNA (357 nucleotides) under Elaeis guineensis (African oil palm). Its description in RNAcentral is "long non-coding RNA (EGUI_LNC080397)". The record is from RNAcentral. Lineage: Eukaryota; Viridiplantae; Streptophyta; Magnoliopsida; Arecales; Arecaceae.
AUCCGAAGUAGAUAUCCGAAGUAGACCACCUGCAGUAGAAGUUCGGAGUAGACUGCUUGCUGUAGAAGUUUGGCUCUCGCAGGAGCUCGGGUGGAAUCUGAAAGGCGAUCGACUGAUAUAGAAAUUUGGAUGGAGUCUGAUUACUAUAGAAAUCUCAUCGUCAAAGAAGCUCAGAUAUUGAUGAAGUUCGGAAGAAGUUCGGAAUAGGGUCAUCUGCGGUCGGAAGAAGUUUGGAAGGGAUUCGGAGAAUAGUUGAUCACUGUAGAAGGUCGGCUAAUAGUGAAGCCCAGAGAGCCUUUGGAGCGGCCCGGUAGAUGAAUGGGAAAGCUCAUUGUCGGAGAAGUCCGGAUGGUCGAG